GACGAACGCUGGCGGCGGGCUUAACACAUGCAAGUCGAACGGAAAGGCCCUGAUUGUUUGGGGUGCUCGAGUGGCGAACGGGUGAGUAACACGAGAGUAACCUGCCCUAGACUUUGGGAUAACUUCAGGAAACUGGGGCUAAUACCGUAUAGGAGCUUCUGCUGCAGGGUGGGGGUUGGAAAGUUGCGGCGGUUGGGGAUGGAUGCGCGGCUGAUCAGCUUGUUGGUGGGGUAGUGGCUUGCCAAGGCUUUGACGGGUAGCCGGCCUGAGAGGGUGACCGGCCACAUUGGGACUGAGAUACGGCCCAGACUCCUACGGGAGGCAGAAGUGGGGAAUAUUGCACAAUGGGCGGAAGCCUGAUGCAGUAACGCCGCGUGCGGGAUGACGGCCUUCGGGUUGUAAACCGCUUUCGCCUGUGACGAAGCGUGAGUGACGGUAAUGGGUAAAGAAGCACCGGCUAACUACGUG
RNAcentral lists this ribosomal RNA (468 nucleotides) under uncultured bacterium. RNAcentral describes it as "partial 16S ribosomal RNA". It matches the Rfam family "Bacterial small subunit ribosomal RNA", at positions 28 to 507 of the family's 1533-position model. The record is from RNAcentral.